AGGUAUCGGGAGAGUCAGCUGGAGGACACAUGAUGAUGCAGUGAGAAGAUUGAAGGAGAUUCAAUACAUUCUUGAUUUUAGAUAAAAUCUUAUCUCACUGAGUAGACUAGAUUUGAGAAGCUAUAGGACAGUAACUAGUGGAGGAAUCUUGAAGGUGCUACGUGGCGAUAGGAUUAUUCUAGAGGAGAAGAAGAGGAGGAGAGAAUAUUAGUACCUGAUGGGAAGCUCAGUGUGAGGUGGAGCUUCAGGAGCCAGGAGGAGUCCAAAGCGAGAUGGAGC
Molecule: long non-coding RNA, 279 nt
Filed under: Elaeis guineensis (African oil palm)
Lineage: Eukaryota; Viridiplantae; Streptophyta; Magnoliopsida; Arecales; Arecaceae
Description: long non-coding RNA (EGUI_LNC054177)
Source: RNAcentral